RNAcentral lists this long non-coding RNA (470 nucleotides) under Elaeis guineensis (African oil palm). RNAcentral's name for it is "long non-coding RNA (EGUI_LNC003483)". The record is from RNAcentral. Lineage: Eukaryota; Viridiplantae; Streptophyta; Magnoliopsida; Arecales; Arecaceae.
UAUUGGAUUUGGCUUAGAUGUAUCUUGCUUGAUUUGUGCUGUCCUGAGUGUGCACUUAUGGUGUAUCAUCAACGGUCUGGAAGCUGUCCUGCCUCUCUAGCUACUAGGGAUGGCAAUGAGUUGGGUGUGGGUUGGAGAGUCCAUUACUCAUAUCCACUCUAUUCUUGUUUCGGGUUAGAUGGGACAAGUAGGUAUAAUUAGAAGGAGCAGGAUAAGAAACAAAUCAGAUCAGAUAAUGUUAUAUAUAUAUAUAUAUUUUGGGGCAUAACGAAACAUAUUUUUUGCUCGAAGGAGGAAAUUUUUGUAAAAAAUUAUAUAUAUCUGGAUCAAGUUCAAGAUAGAAUUAUUUUUAUCUAUACGUUUUCUCGAUCUAUUGUGGUUUGAGUCGGGUACCCGAGGGGUUGGAGUAAAUUGUCACCCCUACCAGCUACCGACAUAUGGGCAAAGCAGUGAGAGAAGCCUUAGUAGGC